GUUGCACUCUCUCCGUCCCAUAUUAAGUGUUGCAAUUUUGUCUAGAUACGCAUGUACCUACAUACUAAAAAGCGUCUAGAUACAUGCAUAUCUAGACAAAGUUGCAACACUAAAUAUGGGACGGAGGGAGUACAUU
Brachypodium distachyon (stiff brome) is the source of this 136-nucleotide non-coding RNA. NCBI's taxonomy places the organism in Eukaryota, Viridiplantae, Streptophyta, Magnoliopsida, Poales, Poaceae. The record is from Rfam.